AUGCAAUCUUUGCUCCGGAAUGUCUGCCGAGCCGGAAACCGCGGGGCUGCGGCGAGGCUCCUGGAAUUUGCUGCUCCUGUAGCCACUCAGCCGGGGGCUACCCCGCCAUCCUCGGCCAUCAAAUACCUCAGGCCUUGCGGGUUCACUCCUCCAACUGGGGUAGGAUUCUUGUCCUCUUUUGUCUCUUCUUCGAAUUCGUCCAGGUCAUGUCAUCUGGAUCAAUUUCUUUGCGUGCAGAAUUGGUUCAUUUCCCGUGAUGGUGUUCCUGCCUCCUCUGGUUUCUGCGCAAAGGUUCUCAUGACGAGGAGUUUGUCGACGGUGGGAACUGUUGAGGUUGCCUCGGACGAGGACGAUUCCAGCUCCCCUGCGGUUGAGCACCCCCCACGCAUCAAGUUCAAGAGGCCCGACAAGACUGCCAGGCACAUUAUGAAUAUCUUGAACAAAGAGGCGGUUGAAAAGGUCCGUUCGGAGAGGGAGAUUCCUGAUGUGCAGCCUGGAUGCAUCAUUCAGAUGAGAUUGCAAGUUCCUGAGAACAAACGGCGAGAGUCUACAUUGAAAGGGAUUGUGAUAGCAAGGCGCAAUGCUGGGAUAAAUACAACCUUCAGAUUGCGUAGAUUAGUAGCUGGUGUGGGAGUCGAGUCCGUCUUUCCACUUUACUCACCAAACAUCAAAGAAAUGAAGAUCUUGGACAGGAAGAAAGUCAGGAGAGCUAAGCUGUAUUACCUGAGAGACAGGAUGAAUGCACUUAAAAAAUGA
Molecule: ribosomal RNA, 756 nt
Filed under: Triticum aestivum (bread wheat)
Lineage: Eukaryota; Viridiplantae; Streptophyta; Magnoliopsida; Poales; Poaceae
Description: partial small subunit ribosomal RNA
Source: RNAcentral